RNAcentral lists this small RNA (152 nucleotides) under Sinorhizobium meliloti 2011. RNAcentral describes it as "putative ncRNA". Lineage: Bacteria; Pseudomonadati; Pseudomonadota; Alphaproteobacteria; Hyphomicrobiales; Rhizobiaceae. The record is from RNAcentral.
GUUUGUUCCCGGCAACAUGAUUGCGGACGGGAACAAGGCCGGUUUGCCAUCUGGCGAGCUCCGUGAAACGAUGCUGCGGAGGUGGCGGAUAUGGUAUUCGGGGUUCGUUUCGAUGCCCUUGUCAUCCCGGCAUCGUUCAUUUACCUUGACGU